GCGCCCCCAGCUCCGCCUGGUCCCCCGGGGCCCGGUCCCUUCCGGCCACACUCUCCGCUCUUUAUCUUCUUCCUCGCCAUGUGGCCCCGGAAACUCGCCUGGAUUUUGGCUGCAGCGGCGUUGGCUCCGGGAUCAUCCAGCGGGAUGUCAAGAAUAUCGUCGUCUGGCUUGGAGCAGGCGCUCUCCUGAGGAUGGGGCAUAUUGUUGUUUUUGUUUUUGUUUUAAUGGGGUUGAUAAAGCCCAGACACGGAGGGGAUGGGGAUGAUAAAGACAGACUCCCAGGGAAUGUGGUAAGAGUAGUGCCCUGUAAGAUUGGGAGGACUUCAAGGAUGGCAGAAGGAGUAGAGAGGGAAGCCUAUGAGUAUUAGCGCAUCUCUUAGGCAGCCAAGAAGGUUCUGGCCCAGGCGGACACAGAAAGAAGUACAUGGGAGGAUGGAGAAAAGAGAGCCAGCUAGCCCCAUUUGAAAGUAGCCUUUAGUUUUAGGGGGCUGCCGAGUUGAGUCUGGAAGAGCAAAGGAAAAGCAGCAGGCACUCCUGAAAGUGACCACCCUUUGCUCUCAGAAGAUGCCCAGACCUUCUUUGUACAGGAUUCCUCAGGGAAUGGACAUAUAUAUCUGCUACAGAGCAGUUUUCUCCGGAGCAGAACUGCACCAGAACUCAAUUCAGGAGAAAAUGAACCCACCACUCCUGGAAUCAGCCAGAGGCCCAGACGUGGUCUUCCUAUUGGACUUGCUAGUUCCUACUGUCUCCCAGAUUGGACCCAAAGAACCCCAAAGAGGUAAAACGACAAUAACUGAAAAGGAAACAGAAGGCAAGAAGUUCUUAGGUCAAUGGCUACCAUUUAAGCUUUUUCCCAUCUUGGGUGCAAGAGCUGUGCUUUUCAAAUAUUUUAAUUCUUUCUCAACAAUAAAGGUGGGUCACUUUCA
This 926-nucleotide long non-coding RNA is filed under the name Mus musculus (house mouse). RNAcentral describes it as "predicted gene, 57038". Lineage: Eukaryota; Metazoa; Chordata; Mammalia; Rodentia; Muridae. The record is from RNAcentral.